CUCAUUGAGCUAAAGCAGGAAAGUUAUUAUUGCAUCAGCUAUACAAAAGCUUUCUAGGGACACUUGGAAGCACUAUCAGCCGAUACAUUACAUCAGUUAUUCAAAGUUCUUGAUCAGUCCAUAUCUUAUCAAUGUAAUUUACUUAUUACACACUGUAUAUAUUUACAACAUACCAUAACUUACAUGAAGUUUAUUCUAAAUUCGUUUUGCAAGAGCUACAACUAACUCUCGUCUUCUGAGGAGUUUGAUGUCAAUUCAAAGUUGGUUCGGUUCUAAUGUGAUGCAUAACAUAACAGGCAGGGGAGGUCUGUCCUGUUGGAAGAAAAAGAGUCGUGUCCAGUCGGUGAAAUUUGGUUUUAAUAAAACAAGGGAAGUAGUAUAUUAUGUUGUAUUGUAUUUUUUUUUGAACAAGAUUAUGUUGUAUUGUAUUGUGUUGUCUAAACACUAUCUGUUCCUAAAUAUUGAUGUAGAUUAAGAUAUUUUAGACUCGUAUAGAUGUUUGUCCCCCUAAUAUGUAUAUUUAUGAUUUAUAUAGCUAUCUAUUUUGCAUUGUUGAAGUUUGUGUUCUAUUCUUGUUUGUUUCCUGCUAAGAUAGAUCAAUUAAUGUUAUAUGAGCUUUUCCAGAUAAAAAUAUAGAAAACCGUAUAAUAAAUGUAUACAGUGUCG
Molecule: long non-coding RNA, 666 nt
Filed under: Trifolium pratense (red clover)
Lineage: Eukaryota; Viridiplantae; Streptophyta; Magnoliopsida; Fabales; Fabaceae
Description: long non-coding RNA (TPRA_LNC009374)
Source: RNAcentral